UCGUCGCUGGGCGCCCCCGAAGGUCUCCAAACACUGCAUCUUUGCGUCGGAGUUUAAACAAAUCAAACAAAACUUUCAACAACGGAUCUCUUGGUUCUGGCAUCGAUGAAGAACGCAGCGAAAUGCGAUAAGUAAUGUGAAUUGCAGAAUUCAGUGAAUCAUCGAAUCUUUGAACGCACAUUGCGCCCUUUGGUAUUCCGAAGGGCAUGCCUGUUCGAGCGUCAUUUCACCACUCAAGCCUGGCUUGGUAUUGGGCGUCGCGGCUCCGCGCGCCCUUAAAGUCUCCGGCUGAGCCAUUCGUCUCUAAGCGUUGUGGAUUUUCUAAUUCGCUUCGGGGUGCGGGUGGCCGCGGCCGUUAAAUCUUUAUUCAAAGGUUGACCUCGGAUCAGGUAGGGAUACCCGCUGAACUUAAGCAUAUCAA
RNAcentral lists this ribosomal RNA (421 nucleotides) under Pseudocercospora rhabdothamni. RNAcentral's name for it is "eukaryotic LSU rRNA". The stretch from base 71 to 224 matches the Rfam family "5.8S ribosomal RNA". Lineage: Eukaryota; Fungi; Ascomycota; Dothideomycetes; Mycosphaerellales; Mycosphaerellaceae. The record is from RNAcentral.